CCUACGGGUGGCAGCAGUGGGGGAUAUUGCACAAUGGGGGAAACCCUGAUGCAGCAACGCCGCGUGAAUGAAGAAGUAUUUCGGGAUGUAAAGCUCUAUCAGCUGGGGAGAAAAUGACGGUACGUGAGUACGAAGCCCCAGCUAACUACGUGCCAGCAGCCGCGGUAAUACGUAGGGGGCGAGCGUUAUCCGGAUUUACUGGGUGUAAAGGGAGCGUUGACGGGUGUUCAAGUCUGAAGUGAAAGCCCGCGGCUUAACCCCGGAACGGCUUUGGAAACUGGGGAGCUAGAGUGCUGGAGAGGUAAGCGGAAUUCAUGGUGUAGCGGUGAAAUGCGUAGAUAUUAGGAGGAACACCAGUGGCGAAGGCGGCUGACUGGACAGUAACUGACGUUGAGGCUCGAAAGCGUGGGUAGCAAACAGGAUUAGAUACCCGGGUAGUC
This 440-nucleotide ribosomal RNA is filed under the name uncultured bacterium. Its description in RNAcentral is "partial 16S ribosomal RNA". It matches the Rfam family "Bacterial small subunit ribosomal RNA", at positions 338 to 795 of the family's 1533-position model. The record is from RNAcentral.